Molecule: ribosomal RNA, 774 nt
Filed under: uncultured Neocallimastigales
Lineage: Eukaryota; Fungi; Neocallimastigomycota; Neocallimastigomycetes; Neocallimastigales
Description: partial large subunit ribosomal RNA
Rfam family: Eukaryotic large subunit ribosomal RNA
Source: RNAcentral
CGCAUCUGUGCAUGCAGUAUAUCAAUAAGCGGAGGAAAAGAAACUAACAAGGAUUCCCCUAGUAACGGCGAGUGAAGCGGGAAGAGCUCAAAUUUGAAAUCUUCAAGGUUUUACCUUGACGAAUUGUAGUUUAAAGAAGUGUUUUCUGCUGAAGUUUUGGUAAAAGUUCUUUGGAAUAGGACAUCAUAGAGGGUGAGAAUCCCGUAUUUGACCAUUAUUUUCAGCUUUGUGAUACACUUUCAAAGAGUCGGAUUGUUUGGGAAUGCAGUCCAAAAUGGGUGGUAAAUUUCAUCUAAAGCUAAAUAUUGGCGAGAGACCGAUAGCGAACAAGUACCGUGAGGGAAAGAUGAAAAGAACUUUGAAAAGAGAGUUAAACAGUACGUGAAAUUGUCAAAAGGGAAGCGUUUGACACCAGUGUUGUUUUUCUGAAAAUCAAUUAAAGAACUGUUUAUGCUAAGCUGUUUAGACUUUAUCAGCUAUCUGUUUAGUUUUGAGCUUUUCUUUAAUGCACUUUUCAGUUAACAAGUCAACAUCAAUUUCUUUUGCUGUAAAAAAGCUUGAGGAAGGUGGCUUGAGAUUCGUCUUAAGUGUUUAUAGCCUCUUGCCUAUGCAGUCGGAGAGAUUGAGGUCUGCAGCGUAGAUCCUUCGGGGCUAAAUGCAUUUGUGCUAAGUUAUAGCAUUUUAUAGACAACUUGUUGACUAUGAUUUGUCUUGUAGCUUACUCGCUUAUGUUAUUUUACCUACGCUUAGGAUGUUGAUAGUCACAGCGUGUAC